Non-coding RNA from Hygrophoropsis aurantiaca, 93 nucleotides. NCBI's taxonomy places the organism in Eukaryota, Fungi, Basidiomycota, Agaricomycetes, Boletales, Hygrophoropsidaceae. The record is from the annotation of a GenBank genome assembly.
GGUUCAAUGGUCUAGUGGUUAUGAUUUCUGUCUUACAGUGCGCUUACGUAAGCUGGACACAGAAGGUCCUGAGUUCGAUCCUCAGUUGAACCA